Molecule: ribosomal RNA, 305 nt
Filed under: uncultured bacterium
Lineage: Bacteria
Description: bacterial SSU rRNA
Rfam family: Bacterial small subunit ribosomal RNA
Source: RNAcentral
CCUACGGGGGGCAGCAGUCGGGAAUAUUGCGCAAUGGAGGAAACUCUGACGCAGUGACGCCGCGUGCAGGAAGAAGAUUUUCGGAUUGUAAACUGCUUUAGACAGGGAAGAUAAUGACAGUACCUGUAGAAUAAGCUCCGGCUAACUACGUGCCAGCAGCCGCGGUAAUACGUAGGGAGCAAGCGUUAUCCGGAUUUACUGGGUGUAAAGGGCGUGUAGCCGGGCUGACAAGUCAGAUGUGAAAUCCGGGGGCUCAACCCCCAAACUGCAUUUGAAACUGUUGGUCUUGAGUAUCGGAGAGGCAG